GGGGUGGGCGGCGACGCUUGGAAUGGCCCGCCGCGCACAGCCCUCUGGGGGUUGUAGUUCACGAGGAGCAACCUCGCUUUUCAUUGGUUCCGGGGACCGAGAUGAAAGGACUCCAACUCCCAGAGUGCAUGAUGUAAGCGCCGCGGCCGCCCCACGUUUCGACAUUGUUGUCAUGUGCGAUUCUUUGACCCUUUUCUCAUUGAAGUGACAGUUGAGGGACUUUGUGGUGCAGUGUAGUGUCCCCUGUUCUAAGUCCCACCUGCUCCAGAGGUGUGACAGAAUAACUCUAAACAAGUCAUGUGUAAUAUCCAUUACUUGAAGUGACGGAUGAUUAGUAUUGGAGUUUAUCCGUGCAAAUAAUCAGUAAUUUGGGGCAGCAGCAACAUCCAUAACACCUCUCCACUGAACAGACCAGACCUCUGCAUCAUCUCCUGCAUAAGCUCUGAUGAAGAAGCCACAG
Molecule: long non-coding RNA, 460 nt
Organism: Hemiscyllium ocellatum (epaulette shark)
Lineage: Eukaryota; Metazoa; Chordata; Chondrichthyes; Orectolobiformes; Hemiscylliidae
Exons: 3
Source: RefSeq, a predicted model, not a curated record